This 240-nucleotide unclassified non-coding RNA is filed under the name soil metagenome. RNAcentral's name for it is "partial contains 5.8S ribosomal RNA, internal transcribed spacer 2, and large subunit ribosomal RNA". The record is from RNAcentral.
AACCUAGCACACCUGCGGUGUGUACCUGCGGAGGGAUCAUUAUUGAAUAAACUGCCUUGAUGGGCUGUUGCUGGCCUUUGGAGGCAUGUGCACGCCUAUCUUGACUCUAUUCAUCCACCUGUGCACCUUGUGUAGUUCUUUGGUUUUCUUGGAUUUGAGGAUUGCCCUGUCAUAUUUGGCUUGGGCUUUUCUUUUUGGUCUUACUCAGAAAGCGUAAAGAGCUAUGUCUUUUUAUCACAA